AGUAUAUUCAGCCAAAGUAUCUGAGAAUUAUACACAACUUAAAUGCUCCAAUCAAAACUAAGGAACCAACAAAACAUACAUCCAAAAAGGGUGAGGUCGAGUACUUUAUUUUAAGACUAUUGUGAUAUAAUGGAUUUUUAAUAAUAUAACUUCAACACUAAUAUUUUGUACUAUUCUAAGUUUUGAUAUGGCCUAAAGAAGUGUAAUAACAGAAAGGUUAAUGCUUCUCAAUUAUGUACCAAAAGGAAAAUUUUACAACAAAGUUGGUAAAUUCAAGCUUGCAUGCAGUGAAGUUUUUGAAUAGGUUACUAAAAUGCUCAUCAACAAUUAAAUUGUAAUUACAGAUGUUGCAACAAUGAACUUUAGAGGGAUUAGAUAUAAGACCCAAAGCAAUCACACCCACAAACAUAAUUAUUAAUCAGACAUGCAUAUAACAGUGAAUUUGAUAACAAAAGCAAGAAAUUCUACAAUUUUUCUUUCUACAUCUAAUAAAAGAAGUGAGAAAAAUUUUAUGAAAAGCUAUCUGUUUAGGAGACUGUAAUGGAAAAACAAAAAAUCCAAAAUAAGCAAUUAUUGUUGCUACCACUCUAAUAUGAAUUGCUUCAAUGACUUGUAGCUCUUCCCUAUGAAUGCGUCCACAACAUAGUUCUUCUCAUGAGGUAAUCAAUAUAUGUUAAGUUAUCGCAUACUUAGGAGAUGUAGCCUCAAUCAUUUAUUGUGAUUUUCUUGAUGUAAAUGUGAUUUUACAAGCAUGCGCCUUUCCAUUUGGCACAAACCACCAGACCACAGUUUCUAUCAUGACAAAGAUAGAUAUUUCAAACUGUUUUGACUUUUGAGUUUUGAUUCCCUUCCCACACCUCCCUUCCUCGCCUCCAUCAAAGAAAAAAAAAUGAUAA
Molecule: unclassified non-coding RNA, 896 nt
Filed under: Hevea brasiliensis (rubber tree)
Lineage: Eukaryota; Viridiplantae; Streptophyta; Magnoliopsida; Malpighiales; Euphorbiaceae
Source: RNAcentral